Long non-coding RNA from Panthera uncia (snow leopard), 802 nucleotides. RefSeq lists it as uncharacterized. The transcript has 3 exons. Lineage: Eukaryota; Metazoa; Chordata; Mammalia; Carnivora; Felidae. The record is from RefSeq and is a predicted model, not a curated record.
CCACAGUAACAGAAUGCUCAGUUUCUAGCUGGACUCCCAGGUUAAACCCUUCCUUCCACAGGCUCCCAUGGAGGUAGCUGUGGCUGUGUGUCAAACUCUUGGGUCAACGGAACGCAAGCCACCAUGAUCCGGGAUCCGGAUCAUUCUCUCAAAAGGAAGAGAUAGAUCCCCUCUCCGCCACCCUUUGCCACUUCCAGACAUCCUUCCUAUAGAAAAACUUGUCCCGAAUGGUGGACUGAAGAAGAAAUACAGGUGGACGGGUCUCCAAACCCUGUGUCUCCACCAAGAAGUCACAGGCUGUUUACUCUAUAGGCUGUACGCUCUCCUCUGUCUUUGCAGAGGUCAGCGGUUACACUGACAGUUCAUCUAGGCUUCUGGCUUCUUUGUCGAUGUUCCAUUUUGUGCUGGUAUAUUCUUGAUUACAGAACAAUUGAUGUGCAAGACCCUUGGUUAAAACAACUGAAGAAAAUUCAGAAAAGCGAUUAUCUCUAAAUAGGUCAUUUGCACAGCAAAGAAGCGUACUGCUCACUGAACUGAGCUGAACUCGUUGAAUUCAUUGACUCUUGCCUUUAUUUCGAGAAACAAAGAAUUUAUCCAGGAAAGCAAUUAAACUCUGGCCUAUUUAAAGAAACCUGUUGCUCUUUUGUAAACCGGACUAGAAUUUCUUUGCAUAGGAUGUAAAUGUUAAGGGAGCUUGGACAAUUGCCUCUUUGUGGCUACCUCACGUUGUCACGUAGAAACAGUCACUUACUGUGACUACUGUGUACGUCAGAGCUGGACAAGAAGGAUAAAACGAUGAUUU